ACCACGGCAGCCCAGCCAUGUUGACUUUCUGACCCUGAACAGCAACACCUUGUCAUGAUAUUAUGACAAUGUCACCAAAUUAUUUGUCGAUACGAGUAAUGUUUUUAGCACAUCAACUUUUGAAGGUUUAUAGCAGGUAAUUGAAUGGUUUGCAUGUAAAUCCUCUGAUUCGUCCAAUUAAACCAUAGAACUAUGUUCUCGCAACACAAUACUUGACGAAGACUAACAUGUAUUUUACAGGUGGUAUCCUCGGGAUAUCAAUUCCAAUGGCACAAACUCCAUGUUGAAAUGGUCGACCGCACGAAUAUCAGCUGGAUGGACGUGCACUUGGAAAUUCUCAAGGGAUUACAUUACUUUCGUAGAUAACAAUGGAUAGCUUAUUCAUACCCUGAUUUCUAUUUGAUACUGAGUUUAUAUAUCAAAUAACUACCGGCGCUAGUUUUAUUCAAUUCCACCUAAAAAGUUCCAAAAACUACUGAUCCUACAGUCAUGACCUCGUCUGCCGCAAUUCAAUUGUUAAUGGCCAAACACAAACUGGUUGUUGUAUCUAUACUUGUAAGCUCACCAGGCUGUAGUCAGGAUGGUUUUCAAUUGUUAUUUUCUAGAUAUCAUUUUAGUGGAAAUUCUAGCAUAAGUUAGAGAUGUACGGAUGAGGCUCUUCACCAAGUGAAGGCCAGUUGUAUGAUAGACACAGCCAGACAAUUAUUAUUGCGAAUACUCUUGCAGCUUUAAUAUAGCCG
RNAcentral lists this small RNA (740 nucleotides) under Histoplasma ohiense. Its description in RNAcentral is "hypothetical lncRNA". Lineage: Eukaryota; Fungi; Ascomycota; Eurotiomycetes; Onygenales; Ajellomycetaceae. The record is from RNAcentral.